Varroa destructor (honeybee mite) is the source of this 926-nucleotide long non-coding RNA. RefSeq lists it as uncharacterized. NCBI's taxonomy places the organism in Eukaryota, Metazoa, Arthropoda, Arachnida, Mesostigmata, Varroidae. The record is from RefSeq and is a predicted model, not a curated record.
GAAAAAAAACAGAGACACACAAAUAGCUUUGAGCUACUCGAUUUAGGUCGUUGCAGUAGUUCGUUAUCACGAAAAUGCUACAAUCAAGAACGUCAUGCGAGGUCCCAAGUGGCGUCCUCCGAGUUUUCAUGGAUGGCAUUUGAAAAUUUAACUUGUCUCUUAUCUACUAAACGAAUAUUGGGUCGCAUCGACUGUAGAAUGACCCAAACAGCGACAGGGUCUGACAGCAGCUUACAAUCCAAUUGUAUCAAGUUGUAGCAACCAAUGGAACAUACAAUCCUUUCAGUUUCAGCCUUACCCAUGAAAUGACGACCGCGGCUAUCCGGUCCGGUAUCCAAUACGAACCAAGACGCUUCUUACGAUUGACAGGACUUUUUAAGACAAUUUCUCGGGUAGUCACUCUGAAACUGGUAACCCAAGUACGCCAUAUAGCACUGAUCGAAAUACGCAUACCGCUUACGCACUUAAAAUCGUAUUCGAUUUCGUCCCACCUUGCUCUGCACCGGCUGUGAAACCCGAUAACAGUCAAAUUUCAGAGGAACGCAAGUGUAUACGAGGAAGAUAACCCGUCAUUACCAUGAAGACCUAUAUAACACAUGUACUAAUCAUCACGUUAUUCUUCGUCCGGUCUUAAGAUAGUAGUAGCAUAAUACUACUUUAGGCUGCUAGUUAUUUAACUAAGCGGUGAUGCAGUUAUAGCCGAGCUCACACAGAAGAAAGUACUUACAGAAUUCCUAGUUGAGUCCAGCCGACGAGACACUUGGCUCGCUAAUGUCUCACGCAACCCAUUUAUAUCGCCCGCUGCCCACAGGGAAAUAGGGGCAUGCGAGAUGUAUGUGCUUAAGGCCAGACAAGACACUGUGUUAACGACCGCCAAAGGCAGUGAGAUUAACAGCGGCAUACGUCAAAAACAGUAUCACUUUUAC